UACAGAGGUCCCAAGCGUUGUUCGGAUUCAUUGGGCGUAAAGGGUGCGUAGGUGGCGCGCUAAGUCAGGUGUGAAAUUUCGGAGCUUAACUCCGAAACUGCAUUUGAUACUGGCGUGCUUGAGGACUGGAGAGGAGACUGGAAUUCACGGUGUAGCAGUGAAAUGCGUAGAUAUCGUGAGGAAGACCAGUGGCGAAGGCGGGUCUCUGGACAGUUCCUGACACUGAGGAGCGAAAGCCAGGGGAGCAAACGGG
Molecule: ribosomal RNA, 253 nt
Filed under: uncultured bacterium
Lineage: Bacteria
Description: partial 16S ribosomal RNA
Rfam family: Bacterial small subunit ribosomal RNA
Source: RNAcentral